RNAcentral lists this microRNA precursor (124 nucleotides) under Gossypium raimondii (Peruvian cotton). Its description in RNAcentral is "miR8722 stem-loop (gra-MIR8722)". Lineage: Eukaryota; Viridiplantae; Streptophyta; Magnoliopsida; Malvales; Malvaceae. The record is from miRBase by way of RNAcentral.
GUUGCAAGAUCUACUUGAGAAGAUGAAAGGAAAAACAUGGAACUUGAGGCAGGGCAGUUCAUGCUCCAAAUACAUCAAGUUCCAUGUUUUUCCUGUUCAUCUUCUCAAGUUAUUUUGGACGGUA